Molecule: long non-coding RNA, 1505 nt
Organism: Megalobrama amblycephala (Wuchang bream)
Lineage: Eukaryota; Metazoa; Chordata; Actinopteri; Cypriniformes; Xenocyprididae
Exons: 3
Source: RefSeq, a predicted model, not a curated record
CUGAGGUCUUUUAAACAAAUGAGAUUUAUAUAAGAAGGAGGAAACAAUUGAGUUUGAGACUCACUCUAUGUCAUUUCCAUGUACUGAACUCUUGUUAUUUGACUAUGCCAAGAUAAAUUACCUUUAACCUUUAACUUAAUCCACUAUGACAAACUGUUUUCUAUGUUUUGGAUAACACUAAUUCUUAUCUUAAAUACAAUUUAGGAUGCAUAUGUCAAUUGGGCAUAUGCUGUUUUGGGUCUCACCAUGAGCUUCCUGUUGCAGCCAGAAUCAGAUUCAAGAUCUUGUUUCUGGUCUAUGAUGGAGCAAAUGAAAAGGCACCCACGGUUAUCUUCAAGCCAUGUACCAACCAUACACCCCAGCUGGGCAACAGCAAUCAGCUAAAUCUGAUAACUAAGGAAACAUUGGAAAACAUUCCUGAGGAAGUCUUUCCGCAUUUGAAACACAGAUUAAGUGAUUACAUGAGACAUGAUACAUUCCGAGUGCAGUCUGGCCCGUGCAGCUGCCACCCGCACCAUCAGGAGCCUCUUCUGCCUGCUUCUCCUCGAUGACCUACACACUAAACUUCACUUUUGCUGGGACCACACCAGUUCAGGCAGGAGUAUCUUUAGGAAUGUAACCAAAAGCUCAAAUAAGCAUGUUUAUAUAUGUAUUGACGGACUGUGUAUUGACAUCUGUGUGUGGCAAUGAUGAGUGAAUGAAUGUGCGGGUGAAGGGGGUUGGGAGAAAGAGCCAAAAGGAAGGGGAGGCUUCAUACCAGCUGCUAAACAUGACAUUUCCUGGCUGGGCCUUCGGUCCCCAGCAGGGGCGACAUCUGUGUGCCUGCCUUUCAUCCCCCUCUGCUCCUCAGGCAAGAUGGCUGAACUACCUGCAACAGGGCACAGGCCCCAGAGACAGCCAGCACUCUCUACUCUAGCCAGCCAAAGCCUCUCCCAGCUGGGCUCCUGUUGCCUGGGGCCUGAAGCCCAGGCACCCAGCUGCAGUGUCUACCCUUCCCCUGGCCCUGUUUGAUCCUCCGCCCGCAGUCCCUCUGUAUACACACCAGUCACCUCCAGCCCUCAGAGGAAAGAUCAUGCUGGCUUCACACCUCUGAGCUGUUCUUGCUGGAAUUAGAGGUUUUUGGUCUUGAGGGAGCUAUAUUUGUACAGAGUAUGCUUUCUUCAUUGCUAACUAACAGUAAUUGCACUAUAUUUUCAGUAGCAUGGAUGGCAGUGGCUCAAAAUGUUUGGUUCCUAAUAACAAAGUACUUUUUUUCCCCAACAAGCAUUGUAGAGAGACAAUGUUAUAUCCCUUUGUAGCUGAGCAAGCUGAGACAGUAAUAAAAAAAAGAAAGUCUGAUUCAUUUCAGUGAAUUCAGACAUAAACCAUAUUAAAAAAGAAACAAUUCACUCAUCGGAGUCUGUGAGUUCAGCUGUGUCUGAAAUCAUUUGCUGUCAGAGUAUUUCCUUUAAAGGGUUAAUUCACACAAAAAUGAAAUUUCUGUCAUUAAUUACUCACCCUCAUGU